This 403-nucleotide ribosomal RNA is filed under the name Verrucomicrobiota bacterium. Its description in RNAcentral is "Verrucomicrobia bacterium partial 16S ribosomal RNA". It matches the Rfam family "Bacterial small subunit ribosomal RNA", at positions 355 to 776 of the family's 1533-position model. The record is from RNAcentral. Lineage: Bacteria; Pseudomonadati; Verrucomicrobiota.
UGGGGAAUAUUGCACAAUGGGGGAAACCCUGAUGCAGCGACGCCGCGUGAGCGAAGAAGGUUUUCGAAUCGUAAAGCUCUGUCCUAUGAGAAGAUAAUGACGGUACCCUGUGAGGAAGCCCCGGCUAACUACGUGCCAGCAGCCGCGGUAAUACGUAGGGGGCUAGCGUUAUCCGGAUUUACUGGGCGUAAAGGGUGCGUAGGUGGUCCUUCAAGUCGGUGGUUAAAGGCUACGGCUCAACCGUAGUAAGCCGCCGAAACUGGAGGACUUGAGUGCAGGAGAGGAAAGUGGAAUUCCCAGUGUAGCGGUGAAAUGCGUAGAUAUUGGGAGGAACACCAGUAGCGAAGGCGGCUUUCUGGACUGCAACUGACACUGAGGCACGAAAGCGUGGGUAGCAAACAGG